UUUAAGUGUAGUUACGAGUUUCUGCAUUUAACGUUUAACCAUUCGUCCUAUUUAAAAUUUUCAUAAUUAGUAUUUUUAUUAUUAUUAAAUGAUUAAACAUGAAUAAUACUUUAUGCGUGAUUUUUUUAAUUUUUUCAUAAAAUUUUCAAAUAAAACGGACGAUCAAAGAUUUAAUACGGAAAAUCAUGGCUACACUAAAU
This is a non-coding RNA of Oryza punctata, 200 nucleotides long. The record is from Rfam. NCBI's taxonomy places the organism in Eukaryota, Viridiplantae, Streptophyta, Magnoliopsida, Poales, Poaceae.